AAAAAAUACUGUUUCCCUUGUGAAAGCCAAAAAGUAAUACUACAUACAAACGUAUCAAUUUAAAAAUUUUAAAAGAAAUUCUUGGAUGUGGGUCGAGAACAUUGUAGAAGACACAUUAAGUGUAAAGCCAAUGUACCAUUGCAGCUGUACGUGCUAUUCUGCUCUUUGAAAGAUGUCACUCCCAGGAGGGCAAUAAAUUAAGUUUUUGAGUUAAAUAGAGGUCAGCUUUCCUUCGCGCGCAAGAUGUAGAGAACAAAGACAAAGGACUGAAUUUUGUUUGAGCUAGGAUAGACGCAGUUAAAGCAAAAUGUGCAUUGUAAGAAAACUGGGAACGAUUAGAGGUGACAAUACGAAGUGUACGGAGAAUUAUGAGUUCCAUGAUAGACAUCGGUGUUGCAAAGAAAAUGAACUAGCUAGAGGGGGAUGACGAGAGCAUUUUCCUUUUUCUCAUUGAAAGAUGUGCUGCUGUUAACUGUGAGAAAGAAUGGAUGUUGCAAAGAUACAAAAGACAAAGAUACCGAAGAUGCUGAAAAGGACUGCAUGGUUACGAUACUCUUGCGAUAUGGAUUGGGGUAGGAAGGAGAGGAAAGGAAACAAAAAACGGCAGCAGAAUAGGAGGAGACCAACCGAUGAAUGGCCUUGAAAUGACUUUGAAUUUUUCGGUAUCUGGUGAAUUAUCAUUAUUACCCUUUGACUUUAAUUUAGUUUUUAAUUUUAAUUUUUGAUUUUGUGUUUUUAAUUCAUGUAAAUGAUUUAGUAAACCGUAUCAAAUUAUUUUAUUCUUGUUAUUUCUCCCUAUUAUUGGAAAUUAAAAGUAUGAGUCAUUGGUUGAGAACACUGGGUCAACGUAAAACAAACUCUGGGCCAACGUAAAAAGACGCUGAGCAAAUGUGAAAAUAACACCGGGCCAACAUCAGAGAAACAAUGUACCGAUGUAAGCUAGAGGAACGCUGGGCCAAUGUAAAAGAAACUCUAAGCCAACGUAAAAGACACAUUGGGCCAAUGUAAAAGACAUACUGGGCCAACAUAAGUUCAAUAUUUGUAGUCUAGUACAUAGGCCCAACAUAUAUCCAAGGUUGGGCCAACAUCCAUGCAAUUG
Long non-coding RNA from Saccostrea cuccullata (small rock oyster), 1099 nucleotides. RefSeq lists it as uncharacterized. Lineage: Eukaryota; Metazoa; Mollusca; Bivalvia; Ostreida; Ostreidae. The transcript has 3 exons. The record is from RefSeq and is a predicted model, not a curated record.